GCAUCAGUUUUUGUGAAAAUUGUUCAGUUAUGAAAUUAACUUGUGAGAAAGAAUCCAGCAAAGCUCGGCCAAUAUGAUAGUUUCCGGAAACGCCGCGCACUAGAACCUCUGCUGUGGCGAGGAUGACGUCAAACGAUGACGAAUUGUUCAUGUGUGUAUGAACAGCGGAUGUCGAAGUAGAAUUUGACGAAUCUGGCGUUUUCCAUCGAUGUAAGAAAGUAUGGUGUUGACGACAACAAAUCUUACACUUAUGCGUUGAUACGCAGUUCGAUAACUGAUGUCCUCUUGAUAAGCAGUUAAUACAGAGACCCAUCUUCUUUGCAUGGUCAAAGCGUUGCGACACACUAAGUGCCUUAAAACGGUCGCGGUUGUGUAUUUUAUGAUUGUUGUUGGAACACACCGAACAACAUGAGCUGGAACAAGAAAACGAGCGGCCUUUACGUGAAGGUUUUGUUUUAUGCGUGUUGGUAGUGCUUUGGUGUACAAAUCCAACGGUGUGAGCGUUAUCAAUUGAGUCGAGAUAUUGGCAGUGUCUCUCCAAAAUGUGGGUACAAUUUUCCCAGCUCGGCAAAGUCUUAAAGUCCAGAGACUCUUUCCAUUUACGAUUGGUUUCUUUAUCUGCCUUGUGUAAAACUAAAUAAAUAAUCAUAGUUUGUGAAAUUUGGCUUUCAGUUCCCAAUGACAAUAACGAGCUGUAAAUUGCAGAUGCCUUAUCAAUUAAACUUCUCAACUGACCGCCAUUAGGCUUAGAAAUAGAAGAAAGCUCAAAUAAAGAGGAAAUAUUUUCUAAAAAUAUGAGAGUUGGGUUGUCAUAUCGAGUUUAGAGUCUCUCUAAUGCCUUCAAAUAGUUUUCAUUGGAAACUUGAAAGGCGUCAAUAGUUUCUAAUGCCGGUCCAUUGAGACAGUUGCGUAGAUGAUUAAAUUUCUCUAUGUUAGAUAAGCCAUAUUCUCGAUCUAUAAUUUGCUGAAAGGAAGUUACGAAGUUUUGAUAUUCAGAGUACUUGCCGUUGAAUAUAGGAAGUUUGAGUUUGGGCAGCUUCGAUCCUGCCUGCAUUACGCAAGUGGUGUCUAAGAGUGUGGUGUUGGAAUCCUCGGUAACUUGAGACUGAAUAAUUAACUUUGUGGUUUUAUACAGCUCUUCAAGAUCCAUGCGACCGCAAUCCUCAUUAUCUAUCCUUUCAAUUUCUGUCUGUGUAGACAACACAUUUUUGAAAUAAGAUUCCACAAUACCAAGUCGACAUUCGGCUGCUGAAAGUAUUUUAGCACCUGGCCGUAGACUGGCCCCGACAAUGUUUUUUAUACGAGUAAUAUUUUUCUUAAUACUAGCCCGUUGUUGUUUGAGCUCUUCCAAAGACAUGUUUAAAAUGUUCAACAAUUUACGAAAAAAUUCCAAAAAUAAAUUGUACGUUUGUUAAAAGAUGAUAUAAAGUUUGCGAUAUAACGACGAAUGAGUAUAAUAUACAUAAAUAGUUUUAUACUUGCGAUUAGAUUGCCUUGAAUCCAGAGUCCCGCUUAAAUGGUUUGUUGGAUAUAAACGAAUAUGUUGGAAACUGCAGCGUAAUGCGAGUAAGCGAUAGCGAUAGUGUGACCAAAUAAGAGCGACGAAAGAAUUGCAAGUGCAGCGGCAGUGAUGCAAUGUGAUGCGUGAUCACAUGCAAGCGACGUAUUAAGGUAUCAGCGAUAUUGAUAGCUAAGCAGCGAACAGGAGCAGCGAGCAGUAGCAGCGACAGCGAAUCAAGUAUUCGCAGUGCAGUGCGAGAGUAGCAGAGACGACAGACGUUCGCAGUGGCAGCGAACAGCAACGAUGGCAGAAUUGGCAGAAGCGACGGCAAAAAUUUAUAAAUAUUAGAAAAGAGUAAAUUAGUAAAAAUUCCAUUGAACUAAGGCGGGCCACUGACUACACAAAUUUACUGCACAAGACUGUUGUUGGAAUUGAGUUUAAUUUCGUUCACUGAGUUCACAACAACAAAUUACUCGAAUUUGCGCAGCUAAUGUAGUCAGUGGCCCGCCUAACGGUUAAUUCAUACAUUACGGUUCACAUACGCCAAUGUUGAUUAUUAGACAGACUGAGACGUACAAAAAGAGCUUUUAAUAUUUUGUCAUUGCGAAAUUGACUGUGGUUAAGAAAGGGUCUUUAUUAAAAUAAUUAAAAAUAGUAAAAGUUAUACUGCAAUAUCGUGAUGGCUGUAAAUAAUUUUGUUACACUUAGAUCUGCUGACACAAACAUAUAUUUGAUAAGAAAAUGUGAAAAAAAUAUACUUGGAAGCAAGUUACCGUCAAACUACAAGUGCUGAAAUGUUUUUUUUUACUAUUUGCGGUGUGAAAAGAAAACAAUUAAAGAAAGUGCUUAAUUGGCUUCGAAGGAAAUAUUGCCUUUUUGGGAAAGAGCACGUAUUCCAACGUUAAACAAAAGAACAUGUGACGAUAAACUGGUGAAAUUAUAUGAUGAGUAGAGAACAGUACAGAAAUUAUGUACAUCUUCGUUUCCUAGUUCUCGUAAAAAAGAAAAUGAUUUCAAUGAUAACUUGAACAAUUUAUUCGAUAUUGCACAUGCUGAUGCUUUAGAAAUGAUAGCUAUUCCUGAGGACCGAGACUUUUUAAUUAAACAAAGAGAACCAGGUCGUGUUGGGAGCAUGAUUUCUAUAGAUCAAUGUCUCGCAAAUAAAGAAAAACGGAAGGCGCAAAGGUUAGAAGAAGAAAAUCCACGCAAAGCAAAGUAUCAAAGAUUGGAAAGCACUCAAGAGUUGAGUGUAGACUAUGAUGUAAGUGAUGAAAGUAAAUGUGAGUCUGAAAAAUCUGUAGAGCAGUUGAUGAUCGAAUCAAACACCAACGAGCUGAAAAAAAACGUGGUAAAAAAAGCUUCAAAGAUGAUAGAAUGCUUGCUUGCAUGGAUGCUGGCAAUAUGUCAACCCCACUUGCAAUUCAUUUUAUUAAUGCAACACCUAAAGCUUUGGGUCACAAUAUUGAAGAUCUGGUUAAUAGUUGUACAAGUUUGAGAAAACAGCGCAAGGAAUAUCGUCGGCGUCAUUGUACAGACAUUAUUGAGAAUUUCAAGAUCCCUGAUACAUUUGUGUUACACUGGGACGGUAAACUACUUCCUGCAAUGACUGGAAAGGAAAAAGUAGAACGCCUAGCUAUUGUUUUAACGGCAGAUAAUAUAGAAAAAUUAAUUUUCAUUCCAAUUAUUGAAUGUGGAGCUGGUGAAGCAAUCGCCCAGUCCAUAUAUAAUUGCUUAGAAAAAAUGAAUAUGAUAAAUUCGGUGGAAAUGGUAUGCUUUGACACGACAGCUACAAACACUGGUAAACGUAACGGUGCUGGAACAAAAAUUGAAACGUAGCUUGUUGUGGUUGCUAUGCAGGCAUCAUAUUGCAGAAAUCAUACUACGAGCUGUAUUUGAAAUAUAUUUUGGAAAAUCUUGUGGCCCGGAAGUUACCAUAUUUGAACGUUUUUCGUGGGAAUGGAACACUUUCAAUUUAAAAGAUCUUUCAAUUGGAAUCAUGGAUGAAGAAGUGCGACGUGCUAUAAAUGCAGAGGAAUGUGAAGCCAAUAAAGAAUUUUGCAUCAAAAAUAUAGCAAAAGACCACAUUCGCCAUGAUUACAAAGAGCUAUUGCAACUCAUGUUUAUUUUCUUAGGUGGCAGCAUCCCGAACUUUUCUUUUCGUGCACCUGGCGCAACGUCACAUGCCAGGUUUAUGUCAAAAGCGAUAUAUGCCUUAAAAAUGUUUGCUUUGCAAAAACAAUUUAAAAUGUCUUCCAGCCAUUUGAAUGGAUUCCGCAAUGUGUGUAUUUUCCUCGUGCGUCUUUAUAUUCCGUAUUGGUUUCGAACUACUAAUGCAGUCGAAGCAGCAAAUUUGGAUUUGCAGCUGGUAAAAAACAUUGCCGGUUAUUACGACCCAAAAAUAUCUCUAGCCUUAUUAGAUAAAAUGAAAAAUCACUUAUGGUAUCCUGUCUUUCGAUUCUAACGUGGACUUAAAUGUGAAAAGAAAGAUGGUUGAAGCACUAGCAUUAGAAAAAGAGUUUGAAAGCAAUGACGACAAUGGCGUUUAUCUGCAUAAAAAUGUAAAUGCCAGCAUUGAAGAUAUGAAAGCAUUCAUAAGUAAAGAUUUAAGUUGUUUUCUAACGCAAAGAACUAGAAAUAUCUUUUCACGAAUAGACGUAAAAUUUUUCAACUUAGAUCCCUCAAACUGGUGCGAAAAUGCAGAAUAUUUAAAAGGUGUUCAAAUCCUCAAAAACGUCACUGCUGUUAAUGAUUCUGCUGAGAGGAAAGUAAAACUAAUAACAGAUUUUAACCGGUCUUUAACUCAUAGCGAAGAAGAUAAACAAUACUUGCUUCAUAUUGUCGAGAACUACAGGCAAAAGUUCCCUUCAUAUACUAAAACUUCGCUUUUGUAAUAUUCUUGAGACAUAUGUAUAUUAAUGAUUGAAAUGCAAAUUGUGGAAAAAUUGCGUUAUUUUUAUUUUUUGUUUAAUAAAUAAACAGAUAACAGUAAAAAAAACCAAGUGUUUUUCUAUAUUUUGUACUUUGACCUCAUUAUGAGUUAAAAAUUUACCACAUGAAUUAUUACAUCGAAUCGCAUAUUUGACCAAUCCCCGUACUCAAAAUUUCAAAAAAAAAAAUAACGCCAGGUCUAAUGUCCAUAUGCUUGCACAUGCGAAAGAGUCACCAAAAGGAGUGACAAAAACUCUCGCUGUUGUUGAUGCGGACAUAUGUAGACAUGCAUACGUGUGUAUAUACAAAUGAGUUAUGUAUGUGGGAGCAUUAUGCAUUUACAAUUUAUAAUACCUUAAUUUGUUAGUACAAUUGAGUCUGUGCUCUUAUAUAGGAGUGACUAAACUUAAAAUAACUUAAUAACUAAUAGGGUGUAACGUUAGGUGAUCCAACACCCUAUAAGACUUACGGACAUGUAUACAAAAAUUUUUGCGGCCAAU
Molecule: long non-coding RNA, 4929 nt
Organism: Bactrocera neohumeralis
Lineage: Eukaryota; Metazoa; Arthropoda; Insecta; Diptera; Tephritidae
Exons: 3
Source: RefSeq, a predicted model, not a curated record